RNAcentral lists this ribosomal RNA (269 nucleotides) under uncultured Pseudomonas sp. RNAcentral's name for it is "partial 16S ribosomal RNA". It matches the Rfam family "Bacterial small subunit ribosomal RNA", at positions 1120 to 1382 of the family's 1533-position model. The record is from RNAcentral. Lineage: Bacteria; Pseudomonadati; Pseudomonadota; Gammaproteobacteria; Pseudomonadales; Pseudomonadaceae.
AGCACGUUAUGGUGGGCGACUCUAAGGAGGACUGCCGGUGGACAAACCGGAGGAAAGGUGGGGAGUGACGUCAAGUCAUCAUGGCCCUUACGGCCUGGGCUACACACGUGCUACAAUGGUCGGUACAAAGGGUUGCCAAGCCGCGAGGUGGAGCUAAUCCCAUAAAACCGAAUCGUAGUCCGGAUCGCAGUCUGCAACUCGACUGCGUGAAGUCGGAAUCGCUAGUAAUCGUGAAUCAGAAUGUCACGGUGAAUACGUUCCCGGGCCUU